UACGUAGGGGGCAAGCGUUGUCCGGAAUCAUUGGGCGUAAAGCGCGUGUAGGCGGCUUGGUAAGUCCGGUGUGAAACCUUGGGGCUCAACCCCAAGCCUGCAUCGGAAACUGCCUCGCUCGAGUCCGGGAGGGGAGAGCGGAAUUCCUAGUGUAGCGGUGAAAUGCGCAGAUAUUAGGAAGAACACCGGUGGCGAAGGCGGCUCUCUGGAACGCAACUGACGCUGAGACGCGAAAGCGUGGGGAGCAAACAGG
Molecule: ribosomal RNA, 253 nt
Filed under: uncultured bacterium
Lineage: Bacteria
Description: partial 16S ribosomal RNA
Rfam family: Bacterial small subunit ribosomal RNA
Source: RNAcentral